This is a long non-coding RNA of Gadus macrocephalus (Pacific cod), 1207 nucleotides long. RefSeq lists it as uncharacterized. The transcript is spliced from 2 exons. The record is from RefSeq and is a predicted model, not a curated record. Lineage: Eukaryota; Metazoa; Chordata; Actinopteri; Gadiformes; Gadidae.
GAGCUAUAGAGGACAGCCCCCCCCCCCCCCUCUCUGAGCUGUAGAGGACAGCCCCCCCCCCCCGGGCCUCUUGUGACGUGUGCUUGUAUCUCAGGAGAAAACGGUUAUCGCAGCAGUUAUCGCCAAAUGCCACAAGACAUUCCCAGAUGAGGCCUUAGUACAACAUGUGUUUGUGUUGACGAUGUUAAGCCAUCCCGCACUCUCAUUUUUCAUCAGUCUAAUGUUGGCCAAUGAUUGUGAUACAAAAGCUUAUUUAUAAAAUCCCACUCUCAAAGGACACUUCUGGAUUAUGUUAACCUAAAUUCUAUUUCCUUGUCAUGUUGGGUCUUGAGUGUUAAUGCAGAAGGCAAUCCUUUACAUCGGUCCAGCACUGAGCGAGAACGUUGGAAGCCGCAAUUCGCGAAAAUGGAUGCAAUGUAAGCCUUUAAGGCAACGCAUUCUGUAAUUACAGCUCUGGUUAUAACUCUAGUUACAGCUCUGGUUAUAACUCUAGUUACAGCUCUGGUUAUAACUCUAGUUACAGCUCUGGUUAUAACUCUAGUUACAGCUCUGGUUAUAACUCUAGUUACAGCUCUGGUUAUAACUCUAGUUACAGCUCUGGUUAUAACCUGCAUUGCACGAGUCUGACAACAUUAACGGAACCCUACAGUGGAACCCAACGUUGGCUCAUCUGACUCGAUCGGGUGUGUUCAUUAUUGAGGAUAACGAUGUCUCAAUCACGGAGAAGUCUGUGAAUCAUGACUAGUCUGGUCAGCUUCACUGUUGUUUGAACCUCGACCUUUUCAGAGCGAGGCUUCGCUGUGAUCGAGACUUGGUUACGCACAAUAACGAACCACCGGGUCGAACCUAAGGGGAGUGCUAUGGCCCAGUUGAUUGCAUUCCAUCCGGUUUGGACCAAUGUCAAAGAUUGUUGUCCACAUUGGUCCCCAACACCCAACAUGACUUGGAAAUAGGCUCCAGGUUCAAAAGUCCCCAGGAUUUCCUUUAAGAGUGUUGGUACAAUACAAACCUGUAAUACAUUCACUUUUCUUUUUUAAAAACGACACAAUGUAUGUUGCUGGCAAUGGCAAUGUUUUUUUUUAUGGAAACCCUAUUUCUGAUGUUGAUGUAAAAAAUGCAAUGUAUUUGUCAAUUGGCUAUAUUGUAAUGAAGAUUGAUUUUUCCAAAUCGAUUAAUUUUCUCAAUUAAAAUCGUCAUGUCUCUUCAA